Molecule: small RNA, 37 nt
Filed under: Romboutsia ilealis
Lineage: Bacteria; Bacillati; Bacillota; Clostridia; Peptostreptococcales; Peptostreptococcaceae
Description: CRISPR spacer
Source: RNAcentral
GUACCAGACAAUGGUGGAAAUAGCGGAAAUGAUAAUG